This 452-nucleotide ribosomal RNA is filed under the name uncultured organism. RNAcentral's name for it is "partial 16S ribosomal RNA". It matches the Rfam family "Bacterial small subunit ribosomal RNA", at positions 330 to 798 of the family's 1533-position model. The record is from RNAcentral.
CGUACACUCCUACGGGAGGCAGCAGUGGGGAAUAUUGGACAAUGGGCGCAAGCCUGAUCCAGCCAUGCCGCGUGAGUGAUGAAGGCCCUAGGGUUGUAAAGCUCUUUCACCGGUGAAGAUAAUGACGGUAACCGGAGAAGAAGCCCCGGCUAACUUCGUUCCAGCAGCCGCGGUAAUACGAAGGGGGCUAGCGUUGUUCGGAUUUACUGGGCGUAAAGCGCACGUAGGCGGACUAUUAAGUCAGGGGUGAAAUCCCGGGGCUCAACCCCGGAACUGCCUUUGAUACUGGUAGUCUUGAGUUCGAGAGAGGUGAGUGGAAUUCCGAGUGUAGAGGUGAAAUUCGUAGAUAUUCGGAGGAACACCAGUGGCGAAGGCGGCUCACUGGCUCGAUACUGACGCUGAGGUGCGAAAGCGUGGGGAGCAAACAGGAUUAGAUACCCGUGUAGUCCCAU